GCUUCACCCCGCGGCUCGGCUGAACCCGGCGGCGAGGCCACNNNNNNNNNNNNNNNNNNNNCAUGGCUCUGGCUAACAAAGAGAACAAUGAGGCUGCCCAGUUCCCCGCUUCCCCCCUGGAAAAAAAAAAACCCGACCCCCAACCCGCAGCCCCCCCGGGCACGGAGGGCUGGGAGCCGCCGGGCAAGGGCAGGGCUGGGGUGCCAGACCCCACAAGGGCAAAACAGCCCGGAGGUCACGCUCCCUGCCAGGGGAUUCCUGCCGGGAUCCCUGCGGGCAGCAGCUCCCUUCCUUUUCCUUUUUUUCCCCUUAAAUCCUCCGCCCUGGGUCUUUUCUUUUUGAUUUUUCCAGGUGAAAGUUUGGUUUAUUUGGUACGUCCUGAAGACAAAGCCCACUCCAGGCACACCCACCCGACGGGGGUUGGGGCGUCCCUUUGUGACAGAUCCCAGGAAACUUUAACUCUUGCUUCUCCAUGGCCCCAAAACAAGCCACAUGGGCUGGCUCUGUGCUUCCAAGCUGGUGACUCUUCUAUGGACAGACACACAUUCUGAUACUUUGAAAAGGACACCUGAAACUUCUGUGGGAUCUUUCCAACAAGGUAACAGCCACCAGGAACUGUCUCCUUAAUUCUUUCCCCUCCUCUCACCUGACAACUAACUCAUCAUCUUCCAGAUGCUAGAAAGUUUAAUGAAAACAGUUAACAAGCUGCUUCUCUUCCUGCUUUGCCUCUUCUUCCUCUUCUCCUGCUUUCUCUCCAGAGGACUCAGCUGUGAACUCCCACCAGCUCUUUCCUUCUGUGCUGUUGCAGAGAAAGCUAAAUAACUUCUGCUUUCCCCCAAAAAGCUCAAUUUCAUGGAGAUGUGUCCAUAUCCAUCCCAAUUCCUCUGUUUACACAGACCCAACAGCAUCAGCACAGCCUUGGGAAUCCUCCCACUCCAGACCUGCCUUCUCCAUGCCAUGAGCUGUUCAGAGAGAUGGCAGGCUCCAGUAUUAUUGCUGGAAUCCUUGAAAAUCCCAGCUUGGAAUGGACUCACAGGGAACCCUGGCCCUGCACAGCCACCCCAACAACCCCACCCGGAGCAGCCCUGAGAGCUCCUGCAGCUCUGGCAGCCUUGGGGCCAGGACCAUUCCCUGGGGAGCCUGGGCAGUGCCCAGCGCCCUCGUGGCUAAGAACCUUACCCUGAGCUCCAUGCCAAGCCCUGGCCCAGCUCCAUGCCAAUUUUGGCAAGAGGGUUUGCACCUAUUGAGAGAAGCUUCUCCUCCAGGGACAGACGCAGGAAAUCCAAGUCGGAGCUUGAGGCAUCCCCCCUCCUAUCCCUUCCCAAAAUAUUUAACAUAGUAAGUUGAAACAACUAAAACUUGUGGGGUCUCCAUAACUUGAGACAGAAGGGUACAGCCCCUCCUGUCUGAGCUCCUUUUGUUCCCAGAUAAUGGAGGAAACUCAGACAUGACCAACACUGGCUCUGGUAACUCCACCAGGCAGCCUUGAGCAAGCCAAGAGGACUUCACAGGGACCUGAAUGGCUCCUCAGGGAUGUCCUUGCUGCAGUUC
Molecule: long non-coding RNA, 1551 nt
Organism: Serinus canaria (Common canary)
Lineage: Eukaryota; Metazoa; Chordata; Aves; Passeriformes; Fringillidae
Source: Ensembl